CCUACGGGAGGCAGCAGUGAGGAAUAUUGGUCAAUGGACGCAAGUCUGAACCAGCCAUGCCGCGUGCAGGAAGACGGCUCUAUGAGUUGUAAACUGCUUUUGUACGAGGGUAAACGCAGAUACGCGUAUCUGUCUGAAAGUACCGUACGAAUAAGGACCGGCUAACUCCGUGCCAGCAGCCGCGGUAAUACGGAGGGUUCAAGCGUUAUCCGGAUUUAUUGGGUUUAAAGGGUGCGUAGGCGGUCGGAUAAGUUAGAGGUGAAAUCCCGAGGCUCAACGUCGGAAUUGCAGCUGAUACUGGUCGGCUAGAGAGUAGUUGAGGUAGGCGGAAUGUAUGGUGUAGCGGUGAAAUGCUUAGAGAUCAUACAGAACACCGAUUGCGAAGGCAGCUUACC
This 395-nucleotide ribosomal RNA is filed under the name uncultured bacterium. RNAcentral describes it as "partial 16S ribosomal RNA". It matches the Rfam family "Bacterial small subunit ribosomal RNA", at positions 338 to 730 of the family's 1533-position model. The record is from RNAcentral.